This 497-nucleotide ribosomal RNA is filed under the name uncultured bacterium. Its description in RNAcentral is "partial 16S ribosomal RNA". It matches the Rfam family "Bacterial small subunit ribosomal RNA", at positions 28 to 507 of the family's 1533-position model. The record is from RNAcentral.
GAUGAACGCUGGCGGCGUGCCUAAUACAUGCAAGUCGAGCGAACGGACGAGAAGCUUGCUUCUCUGAUGUUAGCGGCGGACGGGUGAGUAACACGUGGAUAACCUACCUAUAAGACUGGGAUAACUUCGGGAAACCGGUGCUACUACCGGCUAAUAUUUUGUACCGCAUGGUUCAAAAGUUAAAGACGGUCUUGCUGUCACUUAUAGACGGAUCCGCGCUGCAUUAGCUAGUUGGUAAGGUAACGGCUUACCAAGGCGACGAUGCAUAGCCGAGCUGAGAGGAUGAUCAGCCACACUGGAACUGAGACACGGUCCAGACUCCUACGGGAGGCAGCAGUAGGGAAUAUUGCACAAUGGGCGAAAGCCUGACGGAGCAAGGCCGCGUGAGUGAUGAAGGUCUUCGGAUCGUAAAACUCUGUUAUUAGGGAAGAAAAUAUGUGUAAGAAAAUGUGCACAUCUUGACGGUACCUAAAGAAAAAGCAACGGCUAACUACGUG